Molecule: ribosomal RNA, 459 nt
Filed under: uncultured bacterium
Lineage: Bacteria
Description: partial 16S ribosomal RNA
Rfam family: Bacterial small subunit ribosomal RNA
Source: RNAcentral
CCUACGGGGGGCAGCAGUGAGGAAUAUUGGUCAAUGGUCGGGAGACUGAACCAGCCAAGCCGCGUGAGGGAUGAAGGUACAGAGUAUCGUAAACCUCUUUUGUCAGGGAACAAAGGCGGGGACGCGUCCCCGGAUGAGUGUACCCGAAGAAAAAGCAUCGGCUAACUCCGGGCCAGCAGCCGCGGUAAUACGGAGGAUGCGAGCGUUAUCCGGAUUUAUUGGGUUUAAAGGGUGCGCAGGCGGUCUGUUAAGUCAGCGGUAAAAGCCCGGGGCUCAACCCCGGCCCGCCGUUGAAACUGGCAGUCUCGAGUUGGAGAGAAGUAUGCGGAAUGCGCGGUGUAGCGGUGAAAUGCAUAGAUAUCGCGCAGAACUCCGAUUGCGAAGGCAGCAUGCCGGCUCCACACUGACGCUGAGGCACGAAAGCGUGGGUAUCGAACAGGAUUAGAUACCCCAGUAGUC